UGUGGUUAUUAUAGCAAAGAGGAUACACCUGUUCCCAUCCCGAACACAGAAGUUAAGCUCUUUAGCGCCGAUGGUACUUGGUGGGAAGCCGCCUGGGAGAGUAGGACAUAGCCACGU
This 117-nucleotide ribosomal RNA is filed under the name Paraclostridium sordellii. The record is from RNAcentral. Lineage: Bacteria; Bacillati; Bacillota; Clostridia; Peptostreptococcales; Peptostreptococcaceae.